GGUCAAAGCACCGGUGUUGUGGAAGGA
Molecule: non-coding RNA, 27 nt
Filed under: Homo sapiens (human)
Lineage: Eukaryota; Metazoa; Chordata; Mammalia; Primates; Hominidae
Source: RNAcentral